GACGAACGCUGGCGGCGUGCUUAACACAUGCAAGUCGAACGGAAAGGCCCUGCUUUGGUGGGGUGCUCGAGUGGCGAACGGGUGAGUAACACGUGAGUAACCUGCCCUUGACUUUGGGAUAACUUCAGGAAACUUGGGCUAAUACCGGAUAGGAGCUCCUGCUGCAUGGUGGGGGUUGGAAAGUUUCGGCGGUUGGGGAUGGACUCGCGGCUUAUCAGCUUGUUGGUGGGGUAGUGGCUUACCAAGGCUUUGACGGGUAGCCGGCCUGAGCGGGUGACCGGCCCCAUUGGGCCUGAGAUACGGCCCAGCCUCCUACGGGAGGCAGAAGUGGGGAAUAUUGCACAAUGGGCGGAAGCCUGAUGCAGCACAGCCGCGUGCGGGAUGACGGCCUUCGGGUUGUAAACCGCUUUCGCCUGUGACGAAGCGUGAGUGACGGUAAUGGGUAAAGAAGCACCGGCUAACUACGUG
This 468-nucleotide ribosomal RNA is filed under the name uncultured bacterium. RNAcentral describes it as "partial 16S ribosomal RNA". It matches the Rfam family "Bacterial small subunit ribosomal RNA", at positions 28 to 507 of the family's 1533-position model. The record is from RNAcentral.